This 484-nucleotide ribosomal RNA is filed under the name uncultured bacterium. RNAcentral describes it as "partial 16S ribosomal RNA". It matches the Rfam family "Bacterial small subunit ribosomal RNA", at positions 30 to 507 of the family's 1533-position model. The record is from RNAcentral.
AUUGAACGCUGGCGGUAGGCCUAACACAUGCAAGUCGAGCGGCUGAAGGGAGCUUGCUCCUGGAUUCAGCGGCGGACGGGUGAGUAAUGCCUAGGAAUCUGCCUGGUAGUGUGGGCUAACGUCCGGACACGGGCGCUAAUACCGCAUACGUCCUGAGGGCGUAAGUGUGGGAUCUUCGGACCUUACGCUAUCACAUGAGCCUAUGUCGGAUUAGCUAGUUGGUGGGGUAAAGGCCUACCAAGGCGACGAUCCGUAACUGGUCUGAGAGGAUGAUCAGUCACACUGGAACUGAGACACGGUCCAGACUCCUACGGGAGGCAGCAGUGGGGAAUAUUGGACAAUGGGCGAAAGCCUGAUCCAGCCAUGCCGCGUGUGUGAAGAAGGUCUUCGGAUUGUAAAGCACUUUAAGUUGGGAAGAAGAGCAGUAAGUUAAUACCUUGCUGUUUUGACGUUACCAACAGAAUAAGCACCGGCUAACUUCGUG